RNAcentral lists this ribosomal RNA (253 nucleotides) under uncultured bacterium. Its description in RNAcentral is "partial 16S ribosomal RNA". It matches the Rfam family "Bacterial small subunit ribosomal RNA", at positions 524 to 776 of the family's 1533-position model. The record is from RNAcentral.
UAUGUAGGGUGCAAGCGUUAUCUGGAAUUAUUGGGCGUAAAGAGCUCGUAGGCGGUUUGUCGCGUCUGCUGUGAAAACCGGAGGCUCAACCUCCGGCCUGCAGUGGGUACGGGCAAACUAGAGUGCGGUAGGGGAGAUUGGAAUUCCUGGUGUAGCGGUGGAAUGCGCAGAUAUCAGGAGGAACACCGAUGGCGAAGGCAGAUCUCUGGGCCGUAACUGACGCUGAGGAGCGAAAGCGUGGGGAUCGAACAGG